This 492-nucleotide long non-coding RNA is filed under the name Struthio camelus australis. RNAcentral describes it as "lncRNA (ENSSCUG00000009966.1)". Lineage: Eukaryota; Metazoa; Chordata; Aves; Struthioniformes; Struthionidae. The record is from RNAcentral.
UGGAAGUUGGAUUAUAGUCCACACAAUUAAAAAAAAAAAAAAGGCAUUACUAACUUAUACUUUACUCAUUCGUGCCAACUGCUCCCCCCAGCCGAGUGCUUCCUCUGCUGACCCAGGAGGUGUGUGCACAAAUACUUUGAAAACUUGCGGACCUACAGUCAACAGAUACCAAACCGAGAGGGUGACUGCUGAAAGAAAAAGGAGGGAUUAACCAAGAUUCUCCACACUCUUCAGGACCUGCCCUCAAGUCAUGAUUUUAGGAUACCACUCGUUAAGUGACAUGACCAAGAACUUAGGCUGACCUUCUGCUGAAACAUGAACAUCCUCAGAGAGAAGAGUCCUCUCCUCCACAGAAUCCUUGUCCACCUCCCGAGCAAUGUCCCACCUGGUCACUGGAUGAGGACUCCUUCUGUAGCCUCCAUCACUUCCAGAAAUACAGACAGCCUUUGGGAGAAUAAGUGUCAGCACCAAGAAAAUGGAGGGGAAAUAUAG